GACAGAGGGUGCAAACGUUGUUCGGAAUUACUGGGCGUAAAGCGUGUGUAGGCGGUCUCUUAAGUCGGAUGUGAAAGCCCGGGCUCAACCCGGGAAGUGCACUCGAAACUGGGAGGCUAGAGUACUGGAGAGGUUGGUGGAAUUCUCGGUGUAGAGGUGAAAUUCGUAGAUAUCGAGAGGAACACCGGUGGCGAAGGCGGCCAACUGGACAGAUACUGACGCUGAGACACGAAAGCGUGGGGAGCAAACAGG
Molecule: ribosomal RNA, 252 nt
Filed under: uncultured bacterium
Lineage: Bacteria
Description: partial 16S ribosomal RNA
Rfam family: Bacterial small subunit ribosomal RNA
Source: RNAcentral